RNAcentral lists this ribosomal RNA (253 nucleotides) under uncultured bacterium. Its description in RNAcentral is "partial 16S ribosomal RNA". It matches the Rfam family "Bacterial small subunit ribosomal RNA", at positions 524 to 776 of the family's 1533-position model. The record is from RNAcentral.
GACAGAGGGGGCAAGCGUUGCUCGGAAUUACUGGGUGUAAAGGGCGCGUAGGCGGGAUGGCAAGUCGGUCGUGAAAUCCUUCGGCUCAACCGAAGAACGUCGAUCGAUACUGCUGUUCUUGAGUACUGCAGGGGAGACUGGAAUUCCUGGUGUAGCGGUGGAAUGCGCAGAUAUCAGGAGGAACACCGGUGGCGAAGGCGGGUCUCUGGGCAGUAACUGACGCUGAGGAGCGAAAGCGUGGGGAGCGAACAGG